This is a long non-coding RNA of Scleropages formosus (Asian bonytongue), 910 nucleotides long. RefSeq lists it as uncharacterized. The record is from RefSeq and is a predicted model, not a curated record. The transcript has 4 exons. NCBI's taxonomy places the organism in Eukaryota, Metazoa, Chordata, Actinopteri, Osteoglossiformes, Osteoglossidae.
GAGAAAAUGAUGUACAAUGAGAAUAUAGGAGGACUCGAAACUGAACUCAGCAAUACUAAGACAAGUUGGAGAGAAUCAAGUCAGCUCGUCCUGGGGUCCUAUGGUCCCACCAGUCGCGGUGACCUCAUCCCCAUCGAAUGCUACAGAUACCAUUUCUCAAAUGCUUCUGAAGACAGUUCUUCCGCCUCACACAGAAGGCAUUUGAAAGGUUUCCGGCCUCUAAUCUGCAACAGGCGAUGUAGCGGGAUAUGUAAAAAAAUGCAGAGAUUGUUGAGAGGAGGUGCUGGGUCGGCUGUGUUCCUCAGAACAUCUACAGAAGUCUGCUGGCAGCCAUUGCAGUGGCGAAGAGAAGAGAAAUUAUGGUCUGGAGGGUUUUUUCCAUGUGUGUAUGGGGAUGGUCAUGUUAUGAUUAGACCAGGUGGCCUGGAGAUCAUGGUGAAGACACAGAAGGGGGUCAUUUUAGGUACACUUAACCGUAUAACUUUUUGAAGGUAAAAGAUAAGCUGGCCAUUAUGCCAACAACAAUAUAGCCCAUUAUAGUGAGAAAAUUACACACAGAUGACUUUCAGUCUUGAUGUUCUUGAUGUCCACACCAGCAAGAUGUCAUAAUGUUUAGCAUAUGCUACGGAGAGAACUCAGACAGUGGACAUGUCUGGAUGUUUAAAACUGGUUUAUGUAAUCUGUGGCAUUUAAAAGUCCUUCUUUCAGUUUUGGUUUCAGUGCAAAGACCUUCUAAGUUUUCAGGCUACGAAUUAUGAAUGCACAUCAAUAGUCGACAGUGUCUCAUUUAUUACCAGGAAAUGUUAAUCUCAAAUCCGCAACAGAACAAAAAAAGCAGUGGAUUGUGAUGGAAAUUCAUAUAAUCUUAACACUACUCAGGAUGGUGCUUUAAGAAAUUUUUGCAGUGAGA